This 316-nucleotide small nuclear RNA is filed under the name Monodelphis domestica (gray short-tailed opossum). RNAcentral's name for it is "7SK RNA". It matches the Rfam family "7SK RNA". Rfam says of the family: 7SK was discovered as an abundant small nuclear RNA in the mid-70s but a possible function has only recently been suggested. Lineage: Eukaryota; Metazoa; Chordata; Mammalia; Didelphimorphia; Didelphidae. The record is from Rfam by way of RNAcentral.
GCAUUUAAGCUAUGUUUUGCCUGCGGCAUGUCAGCCUAUUGAUCUCUCCAGGGUUGCUUCACCUGAUCUGGAUGUCUAGGUGGUUGGCCCACUCCUCCCUCAUCUCUCCAUGUGCAUCCCUCCCAACACUGCAUGCUUGGUCAAAGAAGACCACCUCCCCCACCCCCAUUCUUCAGUCAAGGGUAUACAGGUAGCUCUACUGCUCUACUAGAAUGAGCUCCCAAGGUCCAUUUGUAGGAGAACAUAGGGCAAACAAGCUUCCAAGACUCCAGAUACAUCCAAAUGAGGCUCUGCAUGUGGCAAUCUGCCUUCCUUU